CCUACGGGCGGCAGCAGUAGGGAAUCUUCGGCAAUGGACGAAAGUCUGACGGAGCGACGCCGCGUGAGCGAAGAAGGUCUUCGGAUCGUAAAGCUCUGUUGUUAGGGAAGAAGAAGUACCGUUCGAAUAGGGCAGUACGGUGACGGUACCUAACGAGAAAGCCCCGGCUAACUACGUGCCAGCAGCCGCGGUAAUACGUAGGGGGCGAGCGUUGUCCGGAAUUAUUGGGCGUAAAGCGCGCGCAGGCGGUCCCUUAAGUCUGAUGUGAAAGCCCACGGCUCAACCGUGGAGGGUCAUUGGAAACUGGGGGACUUGAGUGCAGAAGAGGAGAGCGGAAUUCCACGUGUAGCGGUGAAAUGCGUAGAGAUGUGGAGGAACACCAGUGGCGAAGGCGGCUCUCUGGUCUGUAACUGACGCUGAGGCGCGAAAGCGUGGGGAGCAAACAGGAUUAGAUACCCGGGUAGUC
This 466-nucleotide ribosomal RNA is filed under the name uncultured bacterium. RNAcentral's name for it is "bacterial SSU rRNA". It matches the Rfam family "Bacterial small subunit ribosomal RNA", at positions 338 to 795 of the family's 1533-position model. The record is from RNAcentral.